This 1499-nucleotide long non-coding RNA is filed under the name Calidris pygmaea (Spoon-billed sandpiper). RNAcentral describes it as "lncRNA (ENSCPGG00000006239.1)". Lineage: Eukaryota; Metazoa; Chordata; Aves; Charadriiformes; Scolopacidae. The record is from RNAcentral.
ACAUUUUCAGUUUGAACUGAAGGAAGAUUUGUGUGUUUCAGCUAAUAAUCCAGCAAAUCCAAGCGAGUAAGCAGCUGCAAUCCAGCCAGAAGUUUGUUGCUGUCUUGGAGUACAUUUUAGCCAUUGGGAACCAUUUAAAUGAAAAGGCUGGAAAAGAGAAGGCUAAAGGAUUUCGAUUGUUGUCUUUGACCAAAUUGCCUCUGUUGCGGGGUAAGGAAAGGACGUUCACCUUGCUUCAUGCCCUUGUGGAACAGAUCUUCUUACAUGAGCCUGAUUUGGCUAAAUUUUCUCAGGAGUUGACAGAAUUUGAAGCUGUUCCUGAUGGUAAGAGAAGGGAGGGGAAAAAAAUCAACAAAUAAAAAAAAUGAAGUCCUUCAACUUUUGUGGAAACUCCCAUCCUCACAAUAUGAUUCUUAUUAGCAUUAUUUUCCCUCUCUUCCUUUCCAGCUUCCAUAAAGGGCCUCAGUGCUGAAGUUGAUGUUUUAAAAAAAGAAUUGGAAAAUGUUAUUCAGUGCAGGCGGCUUAUUAAACCCAAGACAAUCAAAGCAACACCCCAGGAGUCACAGUUCUGCAAGGAACUAAAGGAUUUAAUUCAGAAAUAUGAAGGGGAUCUAUCCCAGCUGUCAAAAAGAUGUGAUGAAAUGAAGAAGCUUUAUAGCAACAUACUGGUAAAAUUUGGGGAGCCGCAAGAUGUAGACUCUCAGGAACUAUUUGGAUGGAUAUCUUCAUUCAUUAGUGAGUUUAGGAAAGCCUGUGCUGAAGUCACGCCAUAAGGACAAUACAAAUCUUACAAAGAGGUGAGGGAAACAGAAGCCCAGAAAACAAUAUUUAAGUUAAUUGGUUUAAAAGUUUUUCUACUAAUAAGUAGGACAUAGACCAUAUAUAGUCUGUACUGCAGUAUACCUUGAUUUUUAAGGGACAUUCAGUUUAUAAUACGUAAUUUGUAAGUGGUAUUUGACUUGUAGGAUCACAGACCACUUCUGAACCUCUCCCUUAUUUUUUCUGGUGUAUGUGCUGUUGUACCUUGAGAUGCCUGUAUAUUUAGAAAGGAGACCUUUUUGACGUUUUAUAAUUUCUCUUUUUAAUCUUUUCCUUUGAUACCCAGUCUGCUGACUGAGUUUUAACUAUUACUUUCAGUGCAUAAGUUUCUGCAUGGUAAUCUAAUUUUCAAUUUUUUUUUGGUGUAGUUUUCUAAAUAAUACUUCUGAAGUUUUAUAAUGAAAUGGAAAGCUGUUACCCACAGAGGACAAUAUUUAGCAAAAAUUCUUAUGUGUCAUUCUGCUAUUAAAGCAGCCUCAGCAUGUAAUGGAGAAAGUGUCUAGCUGGGUGUUGUUUUUUUUUUUUUUUUUACCCCAGAAGUAGUACCAUAAAAUAGUGCUUUUUAUGGCUAAUGUCAUGUAUUCAGGUAAAAUACUAUAGAAUUCAAUCAAUAUGUGAGAUUUGCAUUGACAGGAAGAGAAAAAUAUCAGAGAAGCAAAAUAAAAACGUGUCGUGAAGCA